GAUGCAAGCAGCCUAAGAAGGAAAAGAAAAACAUUGAGAAGAAGAAAAUUGGUUUAUGCCAGGGCAAAAGCCAUGUUAUUCAAAGCAAUCCUUUUGUUGUACGUCUUGGUUUGCUUAGCAGCUUCCCAAGAUCUCAGUUUCCGCUACAAUGGCUUUCGAUCUGCUAAUCUAAGCCUUGAUGGUAUAGCUGAGAUCACCUCUAGCGGCCUUCUGAGGCUUACCAAUGACACCAGGCAGCAAAAGGGUCACGCCUUUUUUCCACACCCAGUAACUUUCAAGAACUCGAAUGGCUCUGUUUUCACCUUUUCUACUACUUUUGUCUUUGCUAUUGUACCUCUAAUUGCAGGUGUUACUGGUCAAGGGAUUGCCUUUGCGAUUGCGCCAACAAAAGGCCUCCCUGGAUCUUUUCCCAGCCAGUACCUGGGGCUGUUUAAUGAGACCAACAACGGUAAUGAUACCAACCAUGUUGUUGCAGUGGAGCUUGACACCGUCUAUAGCUAUGACAGCAAAUUCGGUGAUAUCAAUGAUAACCACGUUGGAAUAGAUAUUAAUGGGUUAAGGUCUUAUGAAUCUGCCCCAGCAGGAUAUUAUACUAAUUCCAGCGGUAGGCUCACAAACUUGACC
This 624-nucleotide unclassified non-coding RNA is filed under the name Hevea brasiliensis (rubber tree). The record is from RNAcentral. Lineage: Eukaryota; Viridiplantae; Streptophyta; Magnoliopsida; Malpighiales; Euphorbiaceae.